AACGAACGCUGGCGGCAUGCCUAACACAUGCAAGUCGAACGCCUGUAGCAAUACAGGAGUGGCGCACGGGUGAGUAACGCGUGGGAACCUGCCCUGGAGUGGGGGAGUAACCGAGAGAAAUUUACGGCUAAUACCGCAUACGUCCUGAGGGAGAAAGAUUUAUCGCUCUAGGAGGGGCCCGCGUCGGAUUAGCUAGUUGGUAAGGUAAUGGCUUACCAAGGCAACGAUCUGAGCCGGCCUGAGAGGGCGGUCGGCCACACUGACACUGAAUAACGGGUCAGACUCCUACGGGAGGCAGCAGUCGGGAAUUUUGGGCAAUGGGCGCAAGCCUGACCCAGCAACGCCGCGUGAAGGAUGAAGUAUUUCGGUAUGUAAACUUCACAAGAAUGGGAAGAAUAAGU
RNAcentral lists this ribosomal RNA (401 nucleotides) under uncultured bacterium. RNAcentral's name for it is "bacterial SSU rRNA". It matches the Rfam family "Bacterial small subunit ribosomal RNA", at positions 29 to 454 of the family's 1533-position model. The record is from RNAcentral.